RNAcentral lists this ribosomal RNA (460 nucleotides) under uncultured bacterium. Its description in RNAcentral is "partial 16S ribosomal RNA". It matches the Rfam family "Bacterial small subunit ribosomal RNA", at positions 338 to 795 of the family's 1533-position model. The record is from RNAcentral.
CCUACGGGUGGCAGCAGUGAGGAAUAUUGGUCAAUGGACGAGAGCCUGACCCAGCCAAGUAGCGUGAAGGAUGAAUGCUCUAUGGGUUGUAAACUUCUUUUAUAUGGGAAUAAAAUGUUCCACGUGUGGGAUUUUGUCUGUACCAUAUGAAUAAGGAUCGGCUACCUCCGUGCCAGCAGCCGCGGUAAUACGGAGGUUUCCAGCGUUAUCCGGAUUUAUUGGGUGUAAAGGGAGCGUAGGUGGAUUGUGAAGUCAGUUGUGAAAGUUUGGGGCUCAACCGUAAGAUUGCAGUUGAAACUGGCAGUCUUGAGUACAGGAGAGGCGGACGGAAUUCGUGGUGUAGCGGUGAAAUGCGUAGAUAUCACGAAGAACUCCGAUUGCGAAGGCAGUUCACUGGACUGCAACUGACACUGAGGCGCGAAAGUGUGGGUAUCAAACAGGAUUAGAUACCCGAGUAGUC